ACUCAUUUUGACGUUUAGCUGCAGAAGAAGCACCGGCUAACUCCGUGCCAGCAGCCGCGGUAAUACGGAGGGUGCGAGCGUUAAUCGGAAUUUACUGGGCGUAAAGCGCAUGCAGGUGGUUUGUUAAGUCAGAUGUGAAAGCCCGGGGCUCAACCUCGGAAUUGCAUUUGAAACUGGCAAACUAGAGUACUGUAGAGGGGGGUAGAAUUUCAGGUGUAGCGGUGAAAUGCGUAGAGAUCUGAAGGAAUACCGGUGGCGAAGGCGGCCCCCUGGACAGAUACUGACACUCAGAUGCGAAAGCGUGGGGAGCAAACAGGAUUAGAUACCCUGGUAG
RNAcentral lists this ribosomal RNA (334 nucleotides) under uncultured bacterium. Its description in RNAcentral is "bacterial SSU rRNA". It matches the Rfam family "Bacterial small subunit ribosomal RNA", at positions 462 to 793 of the family's 1533-position model. The record is from RNAcentral.